Molecule: ribosomal RNA, 253 nt
Filed under: uncultured bacterium
Lineage: Bacteria
Description: partial 16S ribosomal RNA
Rfam family: Bacterial small subunit ribosomal RNA
Source: RNAcentral
UACGGAGGAUCCGAGCGUUAUCCGGAUUUAUUGGGUUUAAAGGGUGCGUAGGCGGUUUGAUAAGUUAGAGGUGAAAUGUCGGGGCUCAACCCCGAAGCUGCCUCUAAUACUGUUGGACUAGAGAAUAGUUGCGGUAGGCGGAAUGUAUGGUGUAGCGGUGAAAUGCUUAGAGAUCAUACAGAACACCGAUUGCGAAGGCAGCUUACCAAACUAUAUCUGACGUUGAGGCACGAAAGCGUGGGUAGCAAACAGG